RNAcentral lists this ribosomal RNA (482 nucleotides) under uncultured bacterium. RNAcentral describes it as "partial 16S ribosomal RNA". It matches the Rfam family "Bacterial small subunit ribosomal RNA", at positions 30 to 507 of the family's 1533-position model. The record is from RNAcentral.
AUUGAACGCUGGCGGCAGGCCUAACACAUGCAAGUCGAGCGGAUGAAGGGAGCUUGCUCCUGGAUUCAGCGGCGGACGGGUGAGUAAUGCCUAGGAAUCUGCCUGGUAGUGGGGGAUAACGUCCGGAAACGGGCGCUAAUACCGCAUCCGUCCUGAGGGAGAAAGUGGGGGAUCUUCGGACCUCACGCUCUCAGAUGAGCCUAGGUCGGAUUAGCUAGUUGGUGGGGUAAAGGCCUACCAAGGCGACGAUCCGUAACUGGUCUGAGAGGAUGAUCAGUCACACUAGAAAUGAGACACGGUAGAGACUCCUACGGGAGGCAGCAGUGGGGAAUAUUGGACAAUGGGCGAAAGCGUGGUACAGCCAUGCCGCGUGUGAAGAAGGUCUUCGGAUUGUAAAGCACUUUAAGUUGGGAGGAAGGGCAGUAAGUUAAUACCUUGCUGUUUUGACGUUACCAACAGAAUAAGCACCGGCUAACUUCGUG